AUUCCAUGGUAAGGGCAUUCUUUGUACCUUUCCCAUGCCUCAUACAAUGACUCAUCAUCCAUUUGUUUGAAAGUAGUGAUCUCAUUCCUCAACUU
Molecule: non-coding RNA, 95 nt
Organism: Gossypium raimondii (Peruvian cotton)
Lineage: Eukaryota; Viridiplantae; Streptophyta; Magnoliopsida; Malvales; Malvaceae
Source: Rfam